Long non-coding RNA from Alligator sinensis (Chinese alligator), 372 nucleotides. RefSeq lists it as uncharacterized. The record is from RefSeq and is a predicted model, not a curated record. NCBI's taxonomy places the organism in Eukaryota, Metazoa, Chordata, Crocodylia, Alligatoridae. The transcript has 3 exons.
CAAUGCAGGGCUGCCACCCCCGCGCCCAGCAGCGGGCUGAGUCCGGGCGGCUGGCUGGGCCCAGAGCCGGGAGCGCGGAAAGGGGGAGGAGGAGGGAGCCCCCGACCUGGCCUAGGUGCAGCACCGCGCCUAGGCCCUCGGCGGGGAAGGGAUCUUGCAAGACUAUCCGGGCCGGUUUCUCAACCAGGGGAUCGGGACCCAAAAGUGGGGAUUUGGAUCAAUCUUCUCAUGCCUCCCGGUGUGGGGGCAGGGUGAGGUGCAUGUGGGGCAGGGGACCCAAGCAGCCUGGAGCUCUGCCAUUUUGUGGACCUGCUCUGGUUCUUCUAUACAGCGAACAAGUUCGCUGCGUCGCUCAUCUCCCUGGAGAACACG